RNAcentral lists this long non-coding RNA (217 nucleotides) under Mytilus galloprovincialis (Mediterranean mussel). The record is from RNAcentral. Lineage: Eukaryota; Metazoa; Mollusca; Bivalvia; Mytilida; Mytilidae.
GUUUUAGCAACAAUAAAAACAUUGCAAUAAUUUCUGAAUUUACAAUUAGCCUUUGUCUCUUAAUUUCAUAUGCAUUAAUGUAGCAGUGCAUUGAUUCUUUCUGAAUGUGUGAAUAUCAAAAUCUUGCAGCAUUCAUUGUUUCAUGGAAGACUCCAGUUCAUUGACAAAAUGAAACUGAUUGUCAUUACAGAGCCUCUUUGUAUUAAUUACCACAACA